GUCAUGGGAGCGCGCCGCUGCCGUCUCCUGAAGCCGGAGGGGAGGGAGGCGGUGUCGCCUCACGGAGCCGGAAGCGACGAGCAGCGGCGGCGGGCUGAUAACAAGCUAGAAGAAGAGAAAAAGAGACUAUGUUCAGCUUCUUCCGGAAAGGUCAAGAUUCAAAGAAAAUUACAGUGCAAGAGAGAGAAGCAGAUGGAUUUGUUAUUGUGGGUGACACAGCUGAUGACCAAAAUAGAGAGGCAAAGGACAAAGCUUCAUUUCCUGAGACCAGACCAGUGUACAACCAGCCUCCACAGAUAUCAGAUACUUCAUGUGGCUCUGCUGACUCCAAUCCUGUCAUUUUGCCGUAUCUGCUGUCAACAACUCCAUUACCAGAUAGUCCAUCUGAAGAAAAAGAAAGGAUUCUGACAUUCAUCAUAUUAUUAUUACUAUUUUAUGACAAGUGGCAAUACACAGAGAUGAAGGUGCAAUUUCCAGAUCGGAGUCUCCGGUAUGUUCUCCAGCAGGAACCAAAUGGUUUAUUGUUUUCAUUGCUGCCUUCCCUUUGCUCUCCAUCUUCAUCCCUCUCCCAGUGAUGGAUUUUAAGUGCUGAAUGUGGAGAAAAUCAUCAUAAUGAAAGAACUGACAAAAUCUGGUCAAGAGCAGUGAUCCUUUUUGGAAUAUCCAUGUUUUCUGUUUAGCCUGGUGCUGAGAUCAAAGGAUCCAAAUGGUUGUGUGAGUGUGCUACAGCUUCUGGAUAAAUUACUGAAAAUGUUAUUGUAAAAGCUAAACCGAUGUGACCCUUGUUUUCAUCAAUCUUAUAUUUAAUCUUUAUAUAGUGGCUUGUGUAGAAGGUUCUUCUACCUCUAUCCUUGAUAAAAGGUAGCACCAAUUAAAAUUCUGCACUUAUGUAUAAUUCUGCACAUAUAAUAAAGUGUGAUAUUUUUAGUGUUGUUGAGCAUUAGUGAACCUGUAUAUAUGCAAAAUGGCUAUAAAACAUUGAAAUUUAAAUUGAAUAAACAUAGAUAGGAAAUUGUAAACGAGAAUUCUCAUUUGGGAAGUUAACCACUUGAAAGAGGAAAAGCUGUUUUACCUGGUAACUUGCAUGGAAGGAAUAUUCCAGCUUUUGGAAACACUGUGUAGAUAAAUUGAGCUCCUACAUCUUUUCUACUCCCAUGUGCCUAAUCGCUGGCGCUGCAAAAAUUAAGCUGCAAGAAUUCUGAUUUAUACACAUGUAAGAAUAAUAAAGCAGAUCUACAAAUGGUGUUUAAAUACCCACUAAUGGGCUAUCUAUCAGAGUGAUAUCAAGGAAUAGGAGAAAAGCCUGGGAGCUGGGAAAACAGCAACAGCAGGAGUAGAUUUCUACAUGCAUAAAAUACGGGAAUAAGAAUUGUUGAGUUUUUUAAAAUAUUUGUAGUAUCUGUUAAUGUAUACCAUGGAGUAACAUCUUUGAAAUCUGCCAUCAACUUCACACCUCUGCCAUCAUCUUAUCUGUGUUACCAGCUCUUGUUUUUCAAGAGAGGAUCUUAGCAACAAAUUUGUGUUCUUUUUUCCUUUCAACCAAUCUCCCACUUUUCCCUGUCUUGGCAGUUCUUACCAUGUUUUCAUUUCACUCCUCCUCUGUAUCAGUAACAGAAUAUUUUUCUAUUUGCCAUUUUCCCUUGUUCUUCACUUUCCUUUGUGGUGAUCCCAGCAUACAUAGAAAGAUGUCUGUUCCACCCAUAUUUUUGAAAUACACUUAAUUUCAUUUUUGCUUUGCAAUUUUUUUUUUCUUCCCCUUGAAUGUAACUUCUCAAAUAGAGUAAUGCACUGCCUGCAGCAAUCACCUCAGAUGGCUUCUUGCCAACUUCACCUUUUCUCAAGUCAUCCUCAGUUUCUACUAUGUGUGCUCCACUCAGCUGUUCUGAGGUCACUAUUAAUGAUGUGAACAAAUCUCAGGACUUCUUGCCUGCAGCAUUAUUGAUCCUACUGUAACUCUGAAAUCUUGUCCUGUCUUAACAGGAAUCUUUUCUUGUUUUCUUUUCCAAAUCAUUGCCAAUUCUUCAAUCUUUCCUUCAGUAAUGGAUCUCCAGCCAAGGUUUCUCUUUCAAAAAAAAAAAUCUCACCAGGCUCUAUUUUACCUCCAUUCGCUGAUUUGUGCGUUUUCUCAGGUGAUUUCUUCUGAUUACAUUAACUCAACUGUCACCUCUACAAUACAAAUCCUUGCUUUUCAUUACACACACCUGGUUCCCCUUGAGACUGAAAUGUUGAAGUCAAGAUAACCUUCCUGAAUUCUUGCUAUGAUUUUAUCAGCCUAUUUUUGUAUCCUUUCCUGGCAUUCCUCUCUCCUGUGACUCUGAAUACAAAUGGGAGCCAUACAAAUUAGGGCCCUCCGUUGGGCACCUGUUUGUAAUCUUAUCUUGUAUUUCACUAUGCAGUUCUUUGUUCUGAGCUGGCUAUGCCAUUUUCAGUUGCCCAUGCAUCCUCUCAGAAAGUGCUGCCAUUCACUUUUUUCACGUUUUCUUCUUGCAAACUAUACUCGAAACACGCUGUUAAAAAAACAAACAAACAAA
RNA transcript from Tympanuchus pallidicinctus (lesser prairie-chicken), 2531 nucleotides. It is a transcript of the gene named UBAP1-MVB12-associated (UMA) domain containing 1, with no coding region annotated. Lineage: Eukaryota; Metazoa; Chordata; Aves; Galliformes; Phasianidae. The record is from RefSeq and is a predicted model, not a curated record. The transcript is spliced from 6 exons.